Molecule: long non-coding RNA, 319 nt
Organism: Paramormyrops kingsleyae
Lineage: Eukaryota; Metazoa; Chordata; Actinopteri; Osteoglossiformes; Mormyridae
Source: RefSeq, a predicted model, not a curated record
GUCUUCUUCGCGAGGAAUGGGUCAGAAAUCCAUUUCCAUUGGCAUCGAGAAGAGAGAGGGGGGCAUACCCUACUUAACAGCGAGGCAGCCCCGUAACCAAACUCAAACCAGGACUCGAAGGACAGCGGAGGCAGCUGAACAAAAGCUGAAGCAACAGCCGUUACGGCCAACCGAAGCGUACGAGAGCCAGGCAGCAUGAAAGACAGCCGAAAACACACUAAAGGUUGUCGGUUCGAGUCCCAGGAGGGCCCUUUGGUAGGUGUUUAACCCGCACUGCUUCAGCAAAACAUCCCACCAUGUGAACUGUAAGCUGUGAAAC